UGAGUGCGAGCUGCUACGGCAGCGAAGUUGGUGAUGUCAUGCUUCCAAGAAAAGCCCUAUACCCGUUAAGGCAUCAUGGCCUGUACCCGAAACCGACACAGGUGGGGUGGUAGAGAAUACCGAGGGGCGCGAGGUAACUCUCUCUAAGGAACUCGGCAAAAUGGCCCCGUAACUUCGGGAGAAGGGGUGCCACCGCAAGGUGGUCGCAGUGAAGAGGCCCAGGCGACUGUUUACCAAAAACACAGGUCUCCGCUAAGUCGCAAGACGAUGUAUGGGGGCUGACGCCUGCCCAGUGCCGGAAGGUUAAGGAAGCUGGUCAGCGCAAGCGAAGCUAGCGACUGAAGCCCCGGUGAACGGCGGCCGUAACUAUAACGGUCCUAAGGUAGCGAAAUUCCUUGUCGGGUAAGUUCCGACCCGCACGAAAGGCGUAACGAUCUGGGCGCUGUCUCGGAGAGAGGCUCGGCGAAAUAGAAUUGUCUGUGAAGAUGCGGACUACGUGCACCCGGACAGAAAGACCCUAUGAAGCUUUACUGUAGCUUGGUAUUGUGCCCGGGCUCGCAAUGCGCAGGAUAGGUGGGAGGCUUUGAUCAUCGGCUUGCGGGUCGAUGUGAGCCAACGGUGAGAUACCACUCUUUGCGAGCUAGGGUUCUAACGGCCACCCGUCAUCCGGGGGCCGGACAGUACCUGGUGGGCAGUUUGACUGGGGCGGUCGCCUCCUAAAAGGUAACGGAGGCGCGCAAAGGUUUGCUCAGGCUGGUUGGAAAUCAGCCGACGAGUGUAAAAGCAGAAGCAAGCUUGACUGUGAGACCAACAAGUCGAACAGGGAGGAAACUCGGCUUUAGUGAUCCGACGGUUCUGAGUGGAAGGGCCGUCGCUCAACGGAUAAAAGUUACUCUAAGGAUAACAGGCUGAUCUCCCCCAAGAGUUCACAUCGACGGGGAGGUUUGGCACCUCGAUGUCGGCUCAUCGCAACCUGGGGCUGAAGUCGGUCCCAAGGGUUGGGCUGUUCGCCCAUUAAAGCGGUACGCGAGCUGGGUUCAGAACGUCGUGAGACAGUUCGGUCCAUAUCCGGUGCACGCGCAGGAAUAUUGAGAGGAUUUCUCCCUAGUACGAGAGGACCGGGAGGAACGCACCUCUGGUGUACCAGUUAUCGUGCCAACGGUAAACGCUGGGUAGCCAUGUGCGGAGUGGAUAACCGCUGAAAGCAUCUAAGUGGGAAGCCCACCUCAAGAUGAGUAUUCCCAUGGCGUAAGCCAGUAAGGUCACGGGAAGAACACCCGUUGAUAGGCUCUAUGUGGAAGCGCAGUAAUGCGUGAAGCAGAGGAGUACUAAUAGACCGAGGGCUUGACC
Molecule: ribosomal RNA, 1350 nt
Filed under: metagenome
Description: bacterial LSU rRNA
Rfam family: Bacterial large subunit ribosomal RNA
Source: RNAcentral